Molecule: transfer RNA, 67 nt
Filed under: Copris tripartitus
Lineage: Eukaryota; Metazoa; Arthropoda; Insecta; Coleoptera; Scarabaeidae
Description: tRNA-Trp
Source: RNAcentral
AAGGAUUUAAGUUAACUAAACUAGAAACCUUCAAAGUUUCAAAUAAAGAAAUUUUCUUUAAGCCUUA